RNAcentral lists this ribosomal RNA (518 nucleotides) under uncultured bacterium. RNAcentral describes it as "bacterial SSU rRNA". It matches the Rfam family "Bacterial small subunit ribosomal RNA", at positions 8 to 521 of the family's 1533-position model. The record is from RNAcentral.
AGAGUUUGAUCCUGGCUCAGAUUGAACGCUGGCGGCAUGCUUUACACAUGCAAGUCGAACGGCAGCACGGGGGCAACCCUGGUGGCGAGUGGCGAACGGGUGAGUAAUACAUCGGAACGUAUCCUUGAGUGGGGGAUAACGCAGCGAAAGUUGUGCUAAUACCGCAUGAGCUCUGAGGAGGAAAGUGGGGGACCGUAAGGCCCCACGCUGAAGGGGCGGCCGAUGUCCGAUUAGCUAGUUGGUGAGGUAAAGGCUCACCAAGGCUUCGAUCGGUAGCUGGUCUGAGAGGAUGAUCAGCCACACUGGGACUGAGACACGGCCCAGACUCCUACGGGAGGCAGCAGUGGGGAAUUUUGGACAAUGGGGGCAACCCUGAUCCAGCCAUGCCGCGUGAGUGAAGAAGGCCUUCGGGUUGUAAAGCUCUUUCGUGAGGGAAGAAACGGCCAUAGUGAAUAGCUGUGGUUACUGACGGUACCUCAAGAAGAAGCACCGGCUAACUACGUGCCAGCCGCCGCGGU